RNAcentral lists this ribosomal RNA (253 nucleotides) under uncultured bacterium. Its description in RNAcentral is "partial 16S ribosomal RNA". It matches the Rfam family "Bacterial small subunit ribosomal RNA", at positions 524 to 776 of the family's 1533-position model. The record is from RNAcentral.
UACGUAGGAGGCAAGCGUUAUCCGGAAUUACUGGGUGUAAAGGGAGCGUAGACGGUAAUGUAAGUCUGGAGUGAAAGGCGGGGGCCCAACCCCCGGACUGCUCUGGAAACUAUGUUACUAGAGUGCAGGAGAGGUAAGCGGAAUUCCUAGUGUAGCGGUGAAAUGCGUAGAUAUUAGGAGGAACACCAGUGGCGAAGGCGGCUUACUGGACUGUAACUGACGUUGAGGCUCGAAAGCGUGGGGAGCAAACAGG